RNAcentral lists this long non-coding RNA (362 nucleotides) under Glycine max (soybean). Its description in RNAcentral is "long non-coding RNA (GMAX_LNC001977)". Lineage: Eukaryota; Viridiplantae; Streptophyta; Magnoliopsida; Fabales; Fabaceae. The record is from RNAcentral.
UUUUUCUCUCUCCCUCUUCUACCAUUUUCAUUUGGUGCCUUCAAAUCCUAUUUCUCUCUACUCGAGCAGCCGUCCAGCAAGGGAUUACUUCUUCCUUUCCCUUCCCUUCAUUUCAUCCUAAACGGCGCACGACCCACCACCAGCCACCACUGCACAACUCAUCGUCGCUCUGUUGGUCGUUGCAUCAUCCCUCUACCCGCCGAAGAGUUGUCGCACUUCUCGCUGCUUCCUUCGCACUACAUGCACAAGGCCUUCUUCUAUAGACCCUUCUUCUUGGUUCAUUCUCAACCCUUCUGAUACUUACUCUGGUUUCUUCUACGGACCCUUCUUCUCUGGCUAUGGUGCAUUUAAAGUGAAACCCC